UCCUGGUUAACCCAGGCAGUCUCGUUAGAGUUCCCACCAUUACGUGUUGGCAACUAACAAUAAGGGUUGCGCUCGUUGCGGGACUUAACCCAACACCUCACGGCACGAGCUGACGACAGCCAUGCAGCACCUGUGCAGAAGCCCCGAAGGGAACAUACGUUUCUGUAUGCGUCUUCUGCAUGUCAAGCCUGGGUAAGGUUCUUCGCGUUGCAUCGAAUUAAACCACAUGCUCCACUGCUUGUGCGGGUCCCCGUCAAUUCUUUUGAGUUUCACCCUUGCGAGCGUACUCCCCAGGCGGUAUACUUAACGCGUUAGCUACGGCACAAUUGGGGUUGAGUCCAAUUACACCAAGUAUACAUAGUUUAGGGCAAGGACUAC
This 378-nucleotide unclassified non-coding RNA is filed under the name uncultured Parachlamydiaceae bacterium. Its description in RNAcentral is "contains 16S-23S intergenic spacer region". Lineage: Bacteria; Pseudomonadati; Chlamydiota; Chlamydiia; Parachlamydiales; Parachlamydiaceae. The record is from RNAcentral.